UUUUCAGUGCUGGGCAGUAGCGAAGGCGACUAGUUUAAUUACAUUCCCUAGUAGCUUGGUCGUAGCGUCACUACUAUGUAUCGAGUAACGUCCCUGUAGUUAAGCUAUUUUUCCUCAAGUAGCGACGUAGUCUACAAAAGCUACAAUUUGUCCCGCAUCGAUGUUACUCAAUGAUUUUUGUUUUACUUUCUCUAUCCUGAAACCUAGGCAGUCACACAGGGGUUCCAAGACCCACCUGCGUGAAAUCAAGUCAAAGGCUGCUGUCUCAUAAUAUGGCGAAGACGAGUAACUUGAAGGCCUAACUGCUCUUAUGAGGAGCAGUCUCGCCAUAGAAGACUGAAAGAAUUGUCCUGCAGGAUGCUGUGUCCUGCAAUCCUGUGUGCUGUGCUACAGACGCGUGUGGAGGUCAACCCGAAAUGGGCACAGUCUCACCACAGAAGAGUGAAAGAGGAUCCUGGCAGGGAGACAUAGUGCAUGAG
Long non-coding RNA from Engraulis encrasicolus (European anchovy), 479 nucleotides. RefSeq lists it as uncharacterized. NCBI's taxonomy places the organism in Eukaryota, Metazoa, Chordata, Actinopteri, Clupeiformes, Engraulidae. The record is from RefSeq and is a predicted model, not a curated record. The transcript has 4 exons.